UGUUACAUAGUCUAGGCUGUGAGAGGGAAAUCUUUUCCAUGAAUUUGGAGGAAGACCAGUGGAAGAUGCGGUAGGAGAGACUUGUGCCAGAGCUAGAAUGUGGCGCCAGCCAUGUCUGUGUAAAGUACAGAAACAAAGGAAGCCAGGAAACUGGGUGCUGACAAAGCCUUGAAACCAAGCCUUGAAGCUGAUUGGGUUCUGUUUUUCUGGAGCACCCUGACUAAUAUGCUCAUAGAUUACGUGCAGCUCGUCUCGCCUGAGUGUGUUCCUUUAUUUAAGAAUUUCAUCCCAUUUUCUCUCAGGGACUAUAGAUGGUGCAAUUUCUGAAGCAUUAUGUGCCUAAAGGUGUAUUUGUUAAGUCCUUAGAACUGAUGGGUAUUUCUACAUACUAAGUUCUCCAAUAACCAGAAUCUCAACUCAUGUAGUCUUGUAGUCUGUUUGACUUUUGAAUAAUU
This is a long non-coding RNA of Octodon degus (degu), 455 nucleotides long. RefSeq lists it as uncharacterized. The transcript has 4 exons. The record is from RefSeq and is a predicted model, not a curated record. Lineage: Eukaryota; Metazoa; Chordata; Mammalia; Rodentia; Octodontidae.